RNAcentral lists this transfer RNA (62 nucleotides) under Cypridopsis vidua. RNAcentral describes it as "tRNA-Phe". Lineage: Eukaryota; Metazoa; Arthropoda; Ostracoda; Podocopida; Cyprididae. The record is from RNAcentral.
AUUAGCAUAGCUUAUUUAAAGCAUGGUGUUGAAGCCAUUAAGAAGAUUUUUAUCUGCUAAUA